This 497-nucleotide ribosomal RNA is filed under the name uncultured bacterium. RNAcentral describes it as "partial 16S ribosomal RNA". It matches the Rfam family "Bacterial small subunit ribosomal RNA", at positions 28 to 507 of the family's 1533-position model. The record is from RNAcentral.
GAUGAACGCUGGCGGCGUGCCUAAUACAUGCAAGUCGAGCGAACGGACGAGAAGCUUGCUUCUCUGAUGUUAGCGGCGGACGGGUGAGUAACACGUGGAUAACCUCCCUAUCAGACUGGGAUAACUUCGGGAAACCGGAGCUAAUACCGGAUGAUAUUUUGCACCGCAUGGUUCAAAAGUGAAAGACGGUCUUGCUGUCACUUAUAGAUGGAUCCGCGCUGCAUUAGCUAGUUGGUAAGGUAACGGCUUACCAAGGCAACGAUGCAUAGCCGACCUGAGAGGGUGAUCGGCCAAACGGGAACUGAGACACGGUCCAGACGCCUACGGGAGGCAGCAGUAGGGAAUCUUCCGCAAUGGGCGAAAGCCUGACGGAGCAACGCCGCGUGAGUGAUGAAGGUCUGCGGAUCGUAAAACUCUGUUAUUAGGGAAGAACAUAUGUGUAAGUAACUGUGCACAUCUUGACGGUACCUAAACAGAAGUCCACGGCUAACUACGUG